Non-coding RNA from Synergistes jonesii, 193 nucleotides. Lineage: Bacteria; Thermotogati; Synergistota; Synergistia; Synergistales; Synergistaceae. The record is from Rfam.
ACAUUUAUAAAAUAAGAGGAUAUAUUCGAUUUAAUAGAACAAGCGGCGCGAAAGCAAGGGAAUUUGGUUAAAAACCAAAGCGGCCCCGCCACUGUAGCCACGACGAAAUCGCGAUAUCACUGGACGGCCUCUGGGAAGAUGCGAUAGUAGGAUGAAUGGGAGCCAGGAGACCUGUUCGCGCUGCCGGGGGAAU